Molecule: long non-coding RNA, 341 nt
Organism: Oncorhynchus tshawytscha (Chinook salmon)
Lineage: Eukaryota; Metazoa; Chordata; Actinopteri; Salmoniformes; Salmonidae
Source: Ensembl
UCUCUCUCUCUCUCUCUCUCUCUCUCUGUCUGUGUGAACACAGUCAGCGGAUCUCCUGAAGGGGCGUCUAAGCCAAUCCCAUCCUUCCACGCCCUGAACGCCGGGGGUCGUGACCUGCUGGUGUGACACUGUCCGCCUGUUUGGCAGUCAGAAGAUCUCAUUGGUUCGUUCCAGCCCUGUGUUUGGCCUGGGUCCAGCAGGUUCUUGAGCAGGCUCCUCUACUAUGUUACCAGGCCUUCUUCAGAGGAGCUGUGAUGGGGGUGGUGCAACAACCUCAGCACCCCUACUUCCCGCAGCCAUGAUCAUACGCACUUAAAUAGGACAUGGAGGACACUUUUCCG